GACGAACGCUGGCGGCGUGCUUAACACAUGCGAGUCGAACGGAAAGGCCCUGCUUUUGUGGGGUGCUCGAGUGGCGAACGGGUGAGUAACACGUGAGUAACCUGCCCUUGACUUUGGGAUAACUUCAGGAAACUGGGGCUAAUACCGGAUAGGAGCUCCUGCUGCAUGGUGGGGGUUGGAAAGUUUCGGCGGUUGGGGAUGGACUCGCGGCUUAUCAGCUUGUUGGUGGGGUAGUGGCUUACCAAGGCUUUGACGGGUAGCCGGCCUGAGAGGGUUACCGGCCACAUUGGGACUGAGAUACGGCCCAGACUCCUACGGGAGGCAGCAGUGGGGAAUAUUGCACAAUGGGCGGAAGCCUGAUGCAGCAACGCCGCGUGCGGGAUGACGGCCUUCGGGUUGUAAACCGCUUUCGCCUGUGACGAAGCGUGAGUGACGGUAAUGGGUAAAGAAGCACCGGCUAACUACGUG
RNAcentral lists this ribosomal RNA (468 nucleotides) under uncultured bacterium. RNAcentral's name for it is "partial 16S ribosomal RNA". It matches the Rfam family "Bacterial small subunit ribosomal RNA", at positions 28 to 507 of the family's 1533-position model. The record is from RNAcentral.